ACGCUGGCGGCACGCCUAACACAUGCAAGUCGAACGAAGUAGCAAUACUUAGUGGCAGACGGGUGAGUAACAUGUAGGUAUCUGCCCUUUGGCCUGGAAUAACACGAGGAAACUUGUGCUAAUACCGGAUAAGUCUUUACGGAGAAAGCUUUAUGCACCAUUGGAUGAGCCUGCACUUGAUUAGUUUGUUGGUGGGGUAAUGGCCUACCAAGACUGUGAUCAAUAGCUGAUUUGAGAGGAUGAUCAGCCACAUUGGGACUGAGACACGGCCCAAACUCCUACGGGAGGCAGCAGUGGGGAAUCUUGCACAAUGGAGGAAACUCUGAUGCAGCGAUGCCGCGUGAGUGAAGAAGGCCCUUGGGUUGUAAAGCUCUUUCGUCGGGGAAGAAAAUGACUGUACCCGAAUAAGAAGGUCCGGCUAACUUCGUGCCAGCAGCCGCGGUAAUACGAAGGGACCUAGCGUAGUUCGGAAUUACUGGGCUUAAAGAGUUCGUAGGUGGUUGAAAAAGUUAGUGGUGAAAUCCCAGAGCUUAACUCUGGAACUGCCAUUAAAACUUUUCAGCUAGAGUAUGAUAGAGGAAAGCAGAAUUUCUAGUGUAGAGGUGAAAUUCGUAGAUAUUAGAAAGAAUACCAAUUGCGAAGGCAGCUUUCUGGAUCAUUACUGACACUGAGGAACGAAAGCAUGGGUAGCGAAGAGGAUUAGAUACCCUCGUAGUCCAUGCCGUAAACGAUGUGUGUUAGACGUUGGAAAUUUAUUUUCAGUGUCGCAGGGAAACCGAUAAACACACCGCCUGGGGAGUACGACCGCAAGGUUAAAACUCAAAUGAAUUGACGGGGACCCGCACAAGUAGUGGAGCAUGUGGUUUAAUUCGAAGAUACGCGCAGAACCUUACCAACACUUGACAUGUUCGUCGCGACUCUAAGAGAUUAGAGUUUUCGGUUCGGCCGGACGAAACACAGGUGCUGCAUGGCUGUCGUCAGCUCGUGUCGUGAGAUGUUGGGUUAAGUCCCGCAACGAGCGCAACCCUCACUUUUAGUUGCCAUCAUUAAGUUGGGCACUCUGAAAGAACUGCCAGUGAUAAGCUGGAGGAAGGUGGGGAUGACGUCAAGUCCUCAUGGCCCUUACGUGUUGGGCUACACACGUGCUACAAUGGUAUCUACAACAGGAAGCAAGACUGCGAAGUUAAGCAAAUCCCUAAAAGAUACCUCAGUUCGGAUUGCACUCUGCAACUCGAGUGCAUGAAGCUGGAAUUACUAGUAAUCGUGGAUCAGCGUGCCACGGUGAAUGCGUUCCCGGGUCUUGCACUCACCGC
This 1313-nucleotide ribosomal RNA is filed under the name uncultured bacterium. RNAcentral describes it as "16S ribosomal RNA". It matches the Rfam family "Bacterial small subunit ribosomal RNA", at positions 33 to 1393 of the family's 1533-position model. The record is from RNAcentral.